GAUCAGACUUGUCUUCAGAGCAAAAGAAUGCCCCAGUCUCCGAUGCUGGUGCUGAUUGACUGCUUCAGUGAGGUGAAGUCAGCAUGUUGGCUGUGCAGCAGAGAAUGAGCUCAAGACCUUCUGAGGCUUUGCAUGAGCAAAUGGACACGGACUAACUGAGUAAAUCU
Long non-coding RNA from Nothoprocta perdicaria, 167 nucleotides. RefSeq lists it as uncharacterized. Lineage: Eukaryota; Metazoa; Chordata; Aves; Tinamiformes; Tinamidae. The transcript has 3 exons. The record is from RefSeq and is a predicted model, not a curated record.